CCUACGGGUGGCUGCAGUGGGGAAUAUUGGACAAUGGGGGCAACCCUGAUCCAGCCAUGCCGCGUGUGUGAAGAAGGCCCUCGGGUUGUAAAGCACUUUCAGUGAGGAAGAACGCCUGGUGGUUAAUACCCAUCAGGAAAGACAUCACUCACAGAAGAAGCACCGGCUAACUCCGUGCCAGCAGCCGCGGUAAUACGGAGGGUGCGAGCGUUAAUCGGAAUUACUGGGCGUAAAGCGCGCGUAGGUGGCUUGAUAAGCCGGUUGUGAAAGCCCCGGGCUCAACCUGGGAACGGCAUCCGGAACUGUCAAGCUAGAGUGCGGGAGAGGAAGGUAGAAUUCCCGGUGUAGCGGUGAAAUGCGUAGAGAUCGGGAGGAAUACCAGUGGCGAAGGCGGCCUUCUGGACUGACACUGACACUGAGGUGCGAAAGCGUGGGUAGCAAACAGGAUUAGAUACCCUGGUAGUC
Molecule: ribosomal RNA, 465 nt
Filed under: Vreelandella stevensii
Lineage: Bacteria; Pseudomonadati; Pseudomonadota; Gammaproteobacteria; Oceanospirillales; Halomonadaceae
Description: partial 16S ribosomal RNA
Rfam family: Bacterial small subunit ribosomal RNA
Source: RNAcentral